This 1512-nucleotide long non-coding RNA is filed under the name Salmo salar (Atlantic salmon). RNAcentral describes it as "lncRNA (ENSSSAG00000098524.1)". Lineage: Eukaryota; Metazoa; Chordata; Actinopteri; Salmoniformes; Salmonidae. The record is from RNAcentral.
AUUUAAUUCACCCCCCUUCAGCAUUAACACUCCCUGGGAUUCCUGCUGAGGAGUUUCUGAAGAAACACAGGGCUGAACUCAUUCAGGGAGUCAAAAACCCAAUGCCAAUAGCAGAUGAUCUGUCGUCAAAGAGCAUGAUUGGUGAUGAAGAGUACUCCAGAAUAAAAGCUGAAACAACUGAACAGGACCGAAUGAGAGAACUACUGAAUGCAGUCCUCCCUAAAGGACCAGAAGUGACGGGAGCUUGUCUCAAAGCUCUCAUUGAACAUGAACGCCAUCUUGUUAAGCACUUGAGUGAAUCUAGCACCUAAUCUGAAGAUGCUGAGGCCUGUCUCCUAGUCUGUGGACAAAGACACUUCUUCAACUAAUCUGAAGAUGCUGAGGCCUGUCUCCUAGUCUGUGGACAAAGACACUUAAAUGAUUCUAGCAAGCGUCCCACCUAGCCCAUAGAGGUUAACAGAGUCUGAGGACAUGAAUGACAGCCUUGUGGAUUCAGCUGCCAUGGACACUGCAGUGGAUGAUGAUGCUGAGUAGAGAACAAGAGUGUGGGUGUCAGAGUUGCCUUCUGAAGGAACAGGUGACACAAGCCUGGAGGGUGAUGUGCGAUCCUUGGAUGCUCAGGAUAUUCCACCUUUGGAUUCUGUGGAAGACACACUGCAGCUGGAAGGUCUGCCUCGAUCAGAGAGUCUUCAAGAAUCUGACCGAGACCGUAACAGUGUAGUGAGUGAGCUAAUUGACCAGUCUGCUUACGAUAUCCGUACUGACCUACCAAACUCGGACCAUUCCUUACCUGAUCAGUUACGCACUGCCUGUGUUGACAGACCCACUAUCGCAACAGUACACAACACUGUUACCCCUUAUGCAGUUGAAGGUACUCGGGGUUGUAUUAGGUCAAGGGCAGGAAGACUAUUUAGACCAGUGUCUAGACUGAUUGAGAUUAUGAAUCAGCAGAAAGUUAGCUCUUGAAGGUUAAUAUUUGAAUAGAGAGGGUCAAUGGUAUUGACAUCUUUUAUUUGUUUUGUUUUUACAUCAUCGUGACCAUGAUUAGAGAUGGCAGGAUGGUAAUGUGACGGAUAUGAUAAAGCCUCACAUGGUAGUUUAUUUUAUUACUUGGAUGUUUUAAAGUCGCUGAGUGUACUUAACAUGUAACAGUCAUCUUUACCUAUGAGAGCUAAGGGGAUUGAUCAACCACUUUUCACUCUAAUUCUCAAGGAGAAUAGUGUAAUGACUGGAGUAUUUAGUGACUGUUUUAAAGCAGGGUCUGCAUCCUCGAUAUACACAGCUUUACCAUUUAGUUUUCUCUAUUGGGUAGUAUAAAAACAUAUCUAUUUUUUUUUUUCUUCUCUGUGGAUUAUUCUGUACAUAUGUUGAGUGUAUCUGUACCUGGUGUGUUUGCACAGUGUGGUUUUGUAUUUGUAUUAUUUUUCUUUGCAAGUGGAAUUCAGUAGGGGGGAGUGUAACAGGGUUAUAUUGGUGAUUCCCCUUGCCACUUUAUUGUUAAGCCAAUGGGUU